UAGUCAUAUGCUUGUCUCAAAGAUUUAGCCAUGCAUGCCUCAGUACAUAACCUUAACAUGGUGAAACCGCGAAUGGCUCAUUAAAUCAGCUAUGGUUCCUUGGAUCAUAAUUCUACUACAUGGAUAACUGUAGUAAUUCUAGAGCUAAUACAUGCCUCGAUGCCCUGAUCCGUAAGGUGAGGGGCGCAGUUAUUAGAUUACAAACCAAACGGGUUCGCCCGUGGUCUGUGAUGACUCUGGAUAACUUUGUAUGAUCGCAGCUGGCCCUGUUGUCGGCGAUGGAUCCAUCAAAUAUCUGCCCUAUCAACUUUCGACGGUAGACGACAUGCCUACCGUGGUUAUGACGGGUAACGGGGAAUCAGGGUUCGAUUCCGGAGAGGGAGCCUGAGAAACGGCUACCACAUCCAAGGAAGGCAGCAGGCACGCAAAUUACCCACUCUCUGAACGAGGAGGUAGUGAAGAUAAAUAUCGAUACAGGACUUAUUAUAGGCUCUGUAAUCGAAAUGAGUGCAUUUUAAAUCCUACAACGAGGAUCAAUUGGAGGGCAAGUCUGGUGCCAGCAGCCGCGGUAACUCCAGCUCCAAUAGCAUAUAUUAAAGUUGCUGCAGUUAAAAAGCUCGUAGUUGGAUCUGGGCCUGGCUCGAUUGCUAGUCUGUGCGCGUGUGUGAAAGCAUGAGUGUGCGGGCUGGUAUAUUCGGGUCGGCUUCAUAGCUGUGUCUGGCGGCCUUCACGGGCUGUCGGAUGGUGUUAAGUGUCUGUGGCGUUCCCUCAGGGGGACGUUGCGGCUUAGCACUAUGGUACGUUGAUGCCCUUAACCGGGUGUCCGUAACUCGCAGCACGUUUACUUUGAACAAAUUUGAGUGCUCAAAGCAGGCCGUUUGUUGCCUGAAGAUUCUUGCAUGGAAUAAUGGAAUAGGACUUUGGUCCUAUUUUGUUGGUUUGAUAGAACCGAAGUAAUGAUAAAAAGAGACAGACGGGGGCAUUUGUAUGGCGGCGCUAGAGGUGAAAUUCGUUGACCGUCGCCAGACAACCUAAAGCGAAAGCAUCUGCCAAGUAUGUUUUCAUUUACCAGGAGCGAAAGUCAGAGGUUCGAAGACGAUCAGAUACCGUCCUAGUUCUGACCAUAAACGAUGCCAACUGACGAUCCGCGUAAGCUCUUCAAUGAGCUCGCGGGCAGUCUCCGGGAAACCUGUAAGUCUAUGGGUUCCGGGGAAAGUAUGGUUGCAAAACUGAAACUUAAAGGAAUUGACGGAAGGGCACCACCAGGAGUGGAGCUUGCGGCUUAAUUUGACUCAACACGGGGAAACUCACCCGAACCGGACACUGGGAGGAUUGACAGAAUGAUUGCUCUUUCAUGAUUCAGUGGCUAGUGGUGCAUGGCCGUUCUUAGUUGGUGGUACGAACUGUCUGGUUAAUUCCGAUAACGAACGAGACUCUAACCUGCUAAAUAGUAUGGUUGCAAAAUAUUACGUGGCCCCCUGUGCUGGCGCCUUCCCUCGGGCAGGUGGUCGGGACAGGACCUCGUAAGCAGGUCAAACUUCUUAGAGGAACAGGCGCCAAAAAGGCGUACGAAAGAGAGCAAUAACAGGUCUGUGAUGCCCUAAGAUGUCCGGGGCCGCACGCGUGCUACAAUGACGAUGCUAGUGAGGAUGAUUCACUGGUCCGAAAGGAUCGGUAAAACUUUUCAAUCAUCGUCGUGCCUGGGAUUGGGGUUUGCAAUUGUCCCCCAUGAACCAGGAAUUCCUAGUAAGCACAAGUCAUCACCUUGUGCUGAUUACGUCCCUGCCCUUUGUACACACCGCCCGUCGCUACUACCGAUUGAAUGGUUUAGCAAGGCCAUUGGAUCGAGUCCAUACGGUUCACGCUGUUUGGAUUUGAGAAGAUGGUCGAACUUGAUCAUUUAGAGGAAGUAAAAGUCGUAACAAGGUUUCCGU
RNAcentral lists this ribosomal RNA (1934 nucleotides) under Pseudodactylogyrus sp. DTJL-2000. RNAcentral's name for it is "SSU rRNA". It matches the Rfam family "Eukaryotic small subunit ribosomal RNA". The record is from RNAcentral. Lineage: Eukaryota; Metazoa; Platyhelminthes; Monogenea; Dactylogyridea; Pseudodactylogyridae.